AGCUCCAAUAGCGUAUAUUAAUGUUGUUGCAGUUAAAAAGCUCGUAGUUGGAUCUCGGGUGCAGGCUGGUGGUUCUACUUUCGUAGACACUGCUCGUCCUGACCUCACUGGUUGGUCUCCUCUUGGUGCCCUUGACUGGGUGUCUCGAGUGGCCGAUUCGUUUACUUUGAAAAAAUUAGAGUGUUCAAAGCAGGCAGUUCGCCUGAAUAAUGUUGCAUGGAAUAAUGGAAUAGGAUCUCGGUUCUAUUUUGUUGGUUUUCGGAAGUCGAGGUAAUGAUUAAGAGGGACAGACGGGAGCAUUCGUAUUACGGUGUUAGAGGUGAAAUUCUUGGAUCGCCGUAAGACGAACUACUGCGAAAGCAUUUGCCAAGAAUGUUUUCA
This 381-nucleotide ribosomal RNA is filed under the name marine Metazoa environmental sample. RNAcentral describes it as "SSU rRNA". It matches the Rfam family "Eukaryotic small subunit ribosomal RNA", at positions 587 to 972 of the family's 1831-position model. The record is from RNAcentral. Lineage: Eukaryota; Metazoa.